Molecule: non-coding RNA, 24 nt
Filed under: Mus musculus (house mouse)
Lineage: Eukaryota; Metazoa; Chordata; Mammalia; Rodentia; Muridae
Source: RNAcentral
UGAUGCAUCAGCCUAUUCUCCCAG